This 171-nucleotide ribosomal RNA is filed under the name Triticum aestivum (bread wheat). RNAcentral describes it as "partial small subunit ribosomal RNA". Lineage: Eukaryota; Viridiplantae; Streptophyta; Magnoliopsida; Poales; Poaceae. The record is from RNAcentral.
AUGACUCUCAUCAGCUGGAACUGCCGGGGGAUCGGGCAACCUCGGACAGUUCGAGAACUUGUGGGCCUUGUCCACACUCACAAGCCCAAGCUGGUGUUCUUAUCCGAGACUCGGAAAAGCCAUGAGUAUGUGAAUAAUCUAAGAUGGAGGUUAGGACUCCGUCAUUGUAUC